Molecule: ribosomal RNA, 440 nt
Filed under: uncultured bacterium
Lineage: Bacteria
Description: partial 16S ribosomal RNA
Rfam family: Bacterial small subunit ribosomal RNA
Source: RNAcentral
CCUACGGGCGGCAGCAGUGGGGAAUAUUGCACAAUGGGGGAAACCCUGAUGCAGCGACGCCGCGUGGGUGAUGAAGUAUUUCGGUAUGUAAACUCCUAUUAUCAGGGAAGAUAAUGACGGUAUCUGACUAAUAAGCACCGGCUAACUACGUGCCAGCAGCCGCGGUAAUACGGAGGGUGCAAGCGUUAUCCGGAUUUACUGGGUGUAAAGAGCGCGUAGUCGGGAUAGCAAGUCCGAGGUGAAAUCCUAUGGCUUAACCAUGGUACUGCAUUUGAAACUGUUGUGCUUGAGUGUGGGAGGGGUAGGCGGAAUUCUUGGUGUAGGGGUAAAAUGCGUAGAGAUCAAGAGGAACACUCAUGGCGAAGGCGACCUGCUAGAACAUAACUGACGUUGAGGCGCGAAAGCGUGGGGAGCAAACAGGAUUAGAUACCCGAGUAGUC